This 253-nucleotide ribosomal RNA is filed under the name uncultured bacterium. RNAcentral's name for it is "partial 16S ribosomal RNA". It matches the Rfam family "Bacterial small subunit ribosomal RNA", at positions 524 to 776 of the family's 1533-position model. The record is from RNAcentral.
UACGAAGGGAGCAAGCGUUGUUCGGAUUUACUGGGCGUAAAGGGUGCGUAGGUGGCUAGGUAAGUUGGAUGUGAAAGCCCUGGGCUUAACUCAGGAAUUGCAUUCAAAACUCUCUAGCUAGAGUAUGGAAGAGGAUGGUGGAAUUCCCAGUGUAGAGGUGAAAUUCGUAGAUAUUGGGAAGAACACCCGUGGCGAAGGCGGCCAUCUGGUCCAUUACUGACACUGAGGCACGAAAGCGUGGGGAGCAAACAGG